Neofelis nebulosa (Clouded leopard) is the source of this 358-nucleotide long non-coding RNA. RefSeq lists it as uncharacterized. The record is from RefSeq and is a predicted model, not a curated record. The transcript has 2 exons. Lineage: Eukaryota; Metazoa; Chordata; Mammalia; Carnivora; Felidae.
AAUGCUCCUGGUGCCCCACCCACGUCAUUCUCAAGAACGCCAUGAGGCCUGGCUACUGAUAAUGCACGGCUGUACCCUUUUUUGGAUUUCCACGGGAAUCGGGCUAGCAGGCUAGACUUCAGCUGAACCCACAUCUUUGCAAGAUGGAGAAAAGUCCCCAUCACUGCCCAGUCUCUGUGACGCCAGUGCCCGAGUAGCAGUGGCCUCCAAGUCCUGGUUUUGCCAUUUGAUGGUUGUUUGACAUUGGGUUAGAUUACCUAGCCUCACUGAGGCUUAUGCUCUCGAUCCCCCAGAUGGAGAAACCCUGGUGUGUAUCUCUUGUGAACAUUAAAUUAGAUAAUACGUGUUUGUGUCUACA